CUGUUGGUAAAACUUCACCAACACCCUUUUGGGCUGUAACUCUGUAGGAAUAAUCCACCAAAGGAUUUUGUUCAUGACUCAUAUUUGUUCACAAGAUAUGAUUAUAGAAGUUUUUAGAGCAAUGGCAUGUGUGCAGCUUUGGGAGGCCUCUUGUUGGUUUAAAGGAGACAUCUCAAAUGAGAAGAAAAGGCUUCUGGCAGCAAGAGCUGUGCUGCAUCUUCAUGAUGGAUGCAGGGGAAUCUGCUGCCUGGAUUGGUUCUGCAGUGCUGAGAAGGUGGAAAACUUGCCUUUGUCAGUAAAAUAAAGAGAUAUGACUCAAGGAGCAAAACAGGAGCUGAGUAAGGCUGUUCUGUCAAAGAAGGAUUUAAAGAGGGCUGUGAGGGAGCAGUGAGUGGCUGCUGUGCAUCCACAGCACCCUCACACCCCAGGCCUCUGCCACUCACCACACAACCUGCUUGGUUUUUCACAUGGAAAAAAACCUUACAGGUCACUUUUCCAAAGAGUGGAUGGUUGAAAGGGGACACAUCAGCUCCCAGAGUGGCUGAACUCCAGCCCUGAGUCCAAUACACCAAGUAAGGGCACAUAUUUAUCUGUACCUAUAAUCUGGAGUUUAUUUCUCCAUUCAGAGUUUUGUGUUCUCUCAGAAGUGCUUCUGUGGUUUCUGCAACCAGCAUUUUAUU
Molecule: long non-coding RNA, 680 nt
Organism: Pseudopipra pipra
Lineage: Eukaryota; Metazoa; Chordata; Aves; Passeriformes; Pipridae
Exons: 3
Source: RefSeq, a predicted model, not a curated record